UGGAGUGAAGAGCACCCAUCUGAGAUAACACCAUUUAGAAACUGAUUAUUACUACUUUACUUUUUUUAAGUGUGUUUUGUGUUUUUUGUCAUAUGUGAGGGUAAACCCUUCACUGUGUGUACAUGAAAUUUUCUAAUGAAGAUUAGUCACUAGUGGUUAUUAAAAAAGUGAAAAAUAUUUUGGCAUAUUAGAGAUUUUUGAAUGGUUUGUGGGGACAAUGAGCUAAGCCGGGAUAUAAGGUAAUUUGUUGGUUAUUCCGAGGAGUGUGUCCUUGUUAAUGUUUUGGUUUGACUCUUUGAUGUUUGUCUCUUCUUUUUAGGCGAGAAAUGGAGAGAGAAGGGUUGGAGGCUUUGUGGUUAUGGCAGACACAGACACAUAAAGCGGAAAGCUAC
This 392-nucleotide long non-coding RNA is filed under the name Lathyrus oleraceus (garden pea). RNAcentral describes it as "Pisum sativum (pea) long non-coding RNA (PSAT_LNC030078)". The record is from RNAcentral. Lineage: Eukaryota; Viridiplantae; Streptophyta; Magnoliopsida; Fabales; Fabaceae.